UACGUAGGUGGCAAGCGUUGUCCGGAAUUAUUGGGCGUAAAGCGCGCGCAGGCGGUCCUUUAAGUCUGAUGUGAAAGCCCACGGCCCAACCGUGGAGGGUCAUUGGAAACUGGGGGACUUGAGUGCAGAAGAGGAAAGCGGAAUUCCACGUGUAGCGGUGAAAUGCGUAGAGAUGUGGAGGAACACCAGUGGCGAAGGCGGCUUUCUGGUCUGUAACUGACGCUGAGGCGCGAAAGCGUGGGGAGCAAACAGG
This 253-nucleotide ribosomal RNA is filed under the name uncultured bacterium. Its description in RNAcentral is "partial 16S ribosomal RNA". It matches the Rfam family "Bacterial small subunit ribosomal RNA", at positions 524 to 776 of the family's 1533-position model. The record is from RNAcentral.